RNAcentral lists this long non-coding RNA (890 nucleotides) under Marmota monax (woodchuck). The record is from RNAcentral. Lineage: Eukaryota; Metazoa; Chordata; Mammalia; Rodentia; Sciuridae.
CCGCCCAACAGAGUCCUGCACGGUUGGGGCCCCUGUGAGGGGACAGCCAGAGGCCCUGGGUCUGGGAGGGCCCUGACCCCUUGUCCUCACCCACACAUGGCAGUGGCUGCCGCUCAGGGCGUGCAGGGCCGGGAUGCACCUCCAGCCUCCCAGGUGACUCCCAGCCACCCAGACGCUGGCUUGGCAGGGGGUGGAGUCCCUGGCUGGCUGCAGGAGGCCUCAGGGGCCAGGACACUUGGCAGAACCCGCCAUGCAUCCCAACCAGUUGGCCGCGCCCCACAGGGGUCAGAGCUCCUGUCCCUGGGGUGGCAGGCAGCACUCCGGGCACCCGUCCACGGGCCCACCCAGCAGACGGCAGCCCCAGGUGGCACAGGAGGCCGUGGGUUGUGCUGAAAGGGGAGCUGUCCAGGCUGGGAGAGCCUGCCCGGCAGAGGCCUUCCCAAGUAAGCAGCAGCUGCCCUGACAGCCUGGCUCAUGCGAGAGCCUGGGUGAGGAUGUCCGUGCACGUGCCUGGCUCCGACCCUCCACCCUGACAUCUCUCUACCUGCUGCCCACACAACUCCUGCCCAUUCCUCCUUGGCCUUCCAAUCUCCAGGGACAGGUUAGUGUCCCUCCCUGGGGCAGCCUUGUCUGGCCAGACCCCAUUUCCAGGGCUUUAGCCCGCAGGUUCUGGCCCAGCCAUGUCACCAUUUGCCACUGCAUGUCAGACGGCCCCUAGGUCAUGGGCAAAUACCACACUUACAGGUAUUCAAGGUGUUCAAGGCCUGUGGACACCUGUGGAGGACAUGCUGGUGUCCCACACCUGCUGCCUGGGAGGAGGGGCCGUGCCUAGGAAUGUGGAGUGGCAGCAGGGGCUAUGCCUCUCCCCCGGUGCCCAUGCAGAACCAGGA